AUACGUAGGGUGCAAGCGUUAAUCGGAAUUACUGGGCGUAAAGCGUGCGCAGGCGGUUCGGAAAGAAGGAUGUGAAAUCCCAGGGCUCAACCUUGGAACUGCAUUCUUAACUACCGAACUAGAGUAUGUCAGAGGGGGGUAGAAUUCCGCGUGUAGCAGUGAAAUGCGUAGAUAUGCGGAGGAAUACCGAUGGCGAAGGCAGCCCCCUGGGAUAAUACUGACGCUCAUGCACGAAAGCGUGGGUAGCAAACAGGAUUAGAUACCCUGGUAGUCCACGCCCUAAACGAUGUCAACUAGCUGUUGGGCCCUUCGGGGCUUAGUAGCGUAGCUAACGCGUGAAGUUGACCGCCUGGGGAGUACGGUCGCAAGAUUAAAACUCAAAUGAAUUGACGGGG
Molecule: ribosomal RNA, 395 nt
Filed under: uncultured bacterium
Lineage: Bacteria
Description: partial 16S ribosomal RNA
Rfam family: Bacterial small subunit ribosomal RNA
Source: RNAcentral